UAGGGAAUCUUCCACAAUGGACGCAAGUCUGAUGGAGCAACGCCGCGUGAGUGAAGAAGGUUUUCGGAUCGUAAAGCUCUGUUGUUGGUGAAGAAGGAUAGAGGCAGUAACUGGUCUUUAUUUGACGGUAAUCAACCAGAAAGUCACGGCUAACUACGUGCCAGCAGCCGCGGUAAUACGUAGGUGGCAAGCGUUGUCCGGAUUUAUUGGGCGUAAAGCGAGCGCAGGCGGAAUGAUAAGUCNGAUGUGAAAGCCCACGGCUCACCGUGGAACUGCA
RNAcentral lists this ribosomal RNA (277 nucleotides) under uncultured bacterium. Its description in RNAcentral is "partial 16S ribosomal RNA". It matches the Rfam family "Bacterial small subunit ribosomal RNA", at positions 355 to 625 of the family's 1533-position model. The record is from RNAcentral.